AGUGAACGCUGGCGGUAGGCCUAACACAUGCAAGUCGAACGGCAGCACAGUAAGAGCUUGCUCUUACGGGUGGCGAGUGGCGGACGGGUGAGGAAUACAUCGGAAUCUACUUUUUCGUGGGGGAUAACGUAGGGAAACUUACGCUAAUACCGCAUACGACCUACGGGUGAAAGCAGGGGAUCGUCGGACCUUGCGCGAUUGAAUGAGCCGAUGUCGGAUUAGCUAGUUGGCGGGGUAAAGGCCCACCAAGGCGACGAUCCGUAGCUGGUCUGAGAGGAUGAUCAGCCACACUGGAACUGAGACACGGUCCAGACUCCUACGGGAGGCAGCAGUGGGGAAUAUUGGACAAUGGGCGCAAGCCUGAUACAGCCAUACCGCGUGGGUGAAGAAGGCCUUCGGGUUGUAAAGCCCUUUUGUUGGGAAAGAAAAGCAGCAGGUUAAUACGCCGCUGUUCUGACGGUACCCAAAGAAUAAGCACCGGCUAACUUCGUG
Molecule: ribosomal RNA, 492 nt
Filed under: uncultured bacterium
Lineage: Bacteria
Description: partial 16S ribosomal RNA
Rfam family: Bacterial small subunit ribosomal RNA
Source: RNAcentral